RNAcentral lists this ribosomal RNA (253 nucleotides) under uncultured bacterium. RNAcentral describes it as "partial 16S ribosomal RNA". It matches the Rfam family "Bacterial small subunit ribosomal RNA", at positions 524 to 776 of the family's 1533-position model. The record is from RNAcentral.
UACGUAGGGUGCAAGCGUUGUCCGGAAUUAUUGGGCGUAAAGAGCGUGUAGGCGGCCCGACCAGUCCGCUGUGAAAGUCCAGGGCUCAACCCUGGAAUGCCGGUGGAUACUGUCGGGCUAGAGUCCGGAAGAGGAGAGUGGAAUUCCUGGUGUAGCGGUGAAAUGCGCAGAUAUCAGGAAGAACACCAAUGGCGAAGGCAGCUCUCUGGGACGGUACUGACGCUGAGACGCGAAAGCGUGGGGAGCGAACAGG